RNAcentral lists this transfer RNA (85 nucleotides) under Felis catus (domestic cat). It matches the Rfam family "tRNA". From Rfam's summary of the family: Transfer RNA (tRNA) molecules are approximately 80 nucleotides in length. Their secondary structure includes four short double-helical elements and three loops (D, anti-codon, and T loops). Further hydrogen bonds mediate the characteristic L-shaped molecular structure. tRNAs have two regions of fundamental functional importance: the anti-codon, which is responsible for specific mRNA codon recognition, and the 3' end, to which the tRNAs corresponding amino acid is attached (by aminoacyl-tRNA synthetases). tRNAs cope with the degeneracy of the genetic code in two manners: having more than one tRNA (with a specific anti-codon) for a particular amino acid; and 'wobble' base-pairing, i.e. permitting non-standard base-pairing at the 3rd anti-codon position. Lineage: Eukaryota; Metazoa; Chordata; Mammalia; Carnivora; Felidae. The record is from Rfam by way of RNAcentral.
GCCUGGAUGGCUCAGUCGGUUGAGCGUCCGACUUCGGCUCAGGUCAUGAUCUCGCAGUUUGUGAGUUCGAGCCCCACAUCGGGCU